RNAcentral lists this ribosomal RNA (403 nucleotides) under uncultured bacterium. Its description in RNAcentral is "partial 16S ribosomal RNA". It matches the Rfam family "Bacterial small subunit ribosomal RNA", at positions 30 to 526 of the family's 1533-position model. The record is from RNAcentral.
AUUGAACGCUGGCGGCAGGCCUAACACAUGCAAGUCGAGCGAGCGGCGGACGGGUGAGUAAUGUAUGAGGCCUGCCCGGUAGAGGGGUAUAACUACUAGACACGGUGGCUAAUAGCGCAUCCUAUCGGAUAACCCAUAUGGGAUGAGCUAGUAGGUGGGGUAAAGGCUCACCUAGGCGACGAUCUCUAGCUGGUCUGAGAGGAUGAGCAGCCACACUGGGACUGAGACACGGCCCAGACUCCUACGGAGGCAGCAGUGGGGAAUAUUGCACAAUGGGCGCAAGCCUGAUGCAGCCAUGCCGGGUGUAUGAAGAAGGCCUUAGGGUUGUAAAGUACUUUCAGCGGGGAGGCGUUACCCGCAGAAGAAGCACCGGCUAACUCCGUGCCAGCAGCCGCGGUAAUUC